Topomyia yanbarensis is the source of this 389-nucleotide long non-coding RNA. RefSeq lists it as uncharacterized. The record is from RefSeq and is a predicted model, not a curated record. Lineage: Eukaryota; Metazoa; Arthropoda; Insecta; Diptera; Culicidae. The transcript is spliced from 3 exons.
CAAGAGUGGUAUUUGUUUACAGCGGGUUAGGGUAUCGGUCGCCGAGGGCAAUCCACGGGUGAAGCGACCAAAUAACGGCUGCUGAGCGGAAACACAAUCAUUGUCAAAGUUCGGGUGAUUUCGUUAUUUCUCCGAAUCAGACUCACUGAUCGCGCUUUAAUACGCUCAGCCAAAAUACUGAACCUUCUUUCUGUCCGUGAAUACCAACGAAGUUAGAAGUGCGCGACGGUUCUAAAUUUUUCUGCUUAAAAUAUUUUUGAGUCUAAGAAUAAAAUUGUUACGAAUAAAAGGAGGUGACAUAUACAUACGGUGUUAAAAGUAAAAAUUUACGAGUGUAAAAUUGGCUAAAGCUAAAGGCACGAAAUUUGUUAAAAGCUAAUUAAAAAGUG